CCUACGGGAGGCAGCAGUGGGGAAUAUUGCACAAUGGGCGAAAGCCUGAUGCAGCGACGCCGCGUGAGGGAUGACGGCCUUCGGGUUGUAAACCUCUUUCAGCAGGGAAGAAGCGCAAGUGACGGUACCUGCAGAAGAAGCACCGGCUAACUACGUGCCAGCAGCCGCGGUAAUACGUAGGGUGCGAGCGUUGUCCGGAAUUAUUGGGCGUAAAGAGCUCGUAGGCGGCUUGUCGCGUCGGAUGUGAAAGCCCGGGGCUUAACUCCGGGUCUGCAUUCGAUACGGGCAGGCUAGAGUUCGGUAGGGGAGAUCGGAAUUCCUGGUGUAGCGGUGAAAUGCGCAGAUAUCAGGAGGAACACCGGUGGCGAAGGCGGAUCUCUGGGCCGAUACUGACGCUGAGGAGCGAAAGCGUGGGGAGCGAACAGGAUUAGAUACCCUGGUAGUCCACGCCGUAAACGUUGGGAACUAGGUGUGGGCGACAUUCCACGUCGUCCGUGCCGCNGCUACGCAUUACGUUCCCGUCCGUGGGUAGGUACGGCCGCGACGACGUAAACGUUAAACGGUAAGUUAGACGGCGUGAGACGUGCCGACGGACGACGACGAGGGAGGUAGG
RNAcentral lists this ribosomal RNA (613 nucleotides) under uncultured bacterium. RNAcentral describes it as "bacterial SSU rRNA". The stretch from base 1 to 523 matches the Rfam family "Bacterial small subunit ribosomal RNA", at positions 338 to 873 of the family's 1533-position model. The record is from RNAcentral.